This 336-nucleotide unclassified non-coding RNA is filed under the name soil metagenome. RNAcentral's name for it is "partial contains 5.8S ribosomal RNA, internal transcribed spacer 2, and large subunit ribosomal RNA". The stretch from base 1 to 120 matches the Rfam family "5.8S ribosomal RNA", at positions 35 to 154 of the family's 154-position model. The record is from RNAcentral.
GAUGAAGAACGCAGCGAAAUGCGAUAAGUAGUGUGAAUUGCAGAAUUCAGUGAAUCAUCGAAUCUUUGAACGCACAUUGCGCCCCUUGGUAUUCCAUGGGGCAUGCCUGUUCGAGCGUCAUUUGUACCUUCAAGCUUUGCUUGGUGUUGGGUGUUUGUCUCGCCUUUGCGUGUAGACUCGCCUUAAAAUAAUUGGCAGCCGGCGUAUUGAUUUCGGAGCGCAGUACAUCUCGCGCUUUGCACUCAUAACGACAGCGUCCAAAAGUACAUUUUACACUCUUGACCUCGGAUCAGGUAGGGAUACCCGCUGAACUUAAGCAUAUCAAUAAGCGAAGGA